AGAGUUAGAGGUCCAUAUCAGCCUUCCUGCUUUGCCAUGCCGCCGAUGCCCUAACCAUGAAACAAGAUCAGCAAACCUUUCUCCAACGCCCUCCCAGGUCCUGAUUCCCAUCACAAAUUAGAGCUAUACCACCCCAAAGGCGGCUAGGGUUUGGAAGGACUUCAUCCUCGAUCCACAACUGACAUCCCAUUAGGGUUUUGAUCUUUUGAUGCAAGUCUGAAAAGUUCAAGACCUGAUGAUCCUCUUUGUACAAAUUAGUCAUACUAUGACAGCCUGAAAAUUGAAAAGAGAAAUUAUUAGUUCUGCCUGGUGAUAGAGAUUAGUGGGGUGGAGAUGUACUGGUCAUCAUUCUUUACAGGUCUCUCGUCAAAAGAAUAAGGUAACACUAAUGCUGCUUUCCUUUCUAAAUUUUGUUGGAGAAUGGAAAUAAUAGAAGUACUCAAUUUCUUGCAGUAAUACAUCCACUUGUAAUUUUUAAACUCAGUUGAUAUUUGCUGCAGCAUAUGUGGAUCAAACUAUGAAUUGUUCACCAUCUGACACAUGCAUAUGUUCAGUCCAAGUUAGACUAGUUUAAAAUUCAGAGAACAAAACUUGUUGCAUAUUGUUAAGAAACCUCUGAACUGUUCACCAUCUAACACAUGUAUGUGUUCAGUCUAAGUAAAACAUGCAUAUGUUUAGUCCAGGUGAUACUCCAAAAUUCAGUUGAUAUUCAUUUCCCAUCGUCAUCUCAGACCACUUUCGACUGCAACUUGAUUGAUGCUUUCUCGAUCCAUCGGUCAUCUUGGCUUCUAUUGUUUCUGAUCUAGGCAAACAUGCAGAUUUUCAUCUUUUGGAAUCAAGUCUGAAAAUUCAGGGCCCAGGAGCACCUUUUCUUUGCAGAAAAACUACAGGUAUUAAACUAUUUUUCGGAUCCAAGUAUGCACUUUUCUUUUCCAAUGGCCACAAUAGAAAAACAUAGGCAUUCAAUCUGAUCACAACACAUAUGUCAUAUCGAAGUCUGAAAUUUCAGAGCCUAGGAGGAUCUUCUCAUCUUUGCAGAAAAAUGACAUGUAACUACAUUUUUUUUAUCAAGUAUGUAGAUUUCCUUUUUUUUAGACUACAUAGUAGGACUACAUUACAAUAGC
Panicum virgatum (switchgrass) is the source of this 1124-nucleotide long non-coding RNA. RefSeq lists it as uncharacterized. The transcript has 4 exons. The record is from RefSeq and is a predicted model, not a curated record. NCBI's taxonomy places the organism in Eukaryota, Viridiplantae, Streptophyta, Magnoliopsida, Poales, Poaceae.